GGGUGGGCCCCUCAGUGAAGAGUUCAGGAUACUUAGGUCUCCACUGAGAGGACCACCCAC
This 60-nucleotide microRNA precursor is filed under the name Mus caroli (Ryukyu mouse). RNAcentral's name for it is "microRNA 7224 (MGP_CAROLIEiJ_G0007720.1)". Lineage: Eukaryota; Metazoa; Chordata; Mammalia; Rodentia; Muridae. The record is from RNAcentral.